UACGAAGGGGGCUAGCGUUGUUCGGAAUUACUGGGCGUAAAGCGCACGUAGGCGGAUUGAUCAGUCAGGGGUGAAAUCCCAGGGCUCAACCCUGGAACUGCCUUUGAUACUGUCGAUCUGGAGUAUGGAAGAGGUGAGUGGAAUUCCGAGUGUAGAGGUGAAAUUCGUAGAUAUUCGGAGGAACACCAGUGGCGAAGGCGGCUCACUGGUCCAUUACUGACGCUGAGGUGCGAAAGCGUGGGGAGCAAACAGG
This 253-nucleotide ribosomal RNA is filed under the name uncultured bacterium. RNAcentral's name for it is "partial 16S ribosomal RNA". It matches the Rfam family "Bacterial small subunit ribosomal RNA", at positions 524 to 776 of the family's 1533-position model. The record is from RNAcentral.